GUAUGUUCUACCCUGAAAAAAAAAACACCCACAGCAGCAAGUCUCAGAGCCUACGUCAACUGACUCAGGCCCACAGGAUUUAUGCUAUGGAGCUAAAAACAGCAGUGUAGAUGAUUGGCUUCAGGGGUAGCCGUG
Molecule: non-coding RNA, 135 nt
Organism: Chelonoidis abingdonii (Abingdon island giant tortoise)
Lineage: Eukaryota; Metazoa; Chordata; Testudines; Testudinidae
Source: RefSeq, a predicted model, not a curated record